This 260-nucleotide ribosomal RNA is filed under the name uncultured bacterium. Its description in RNAcentral is "partial 16S ribosomal RNA". It matches the Rfam family "Bacterial small subunit ribosomal RNA", at positions 103 to 354 of the family's 1533-position model. The record is from RNAcentral.
CGGGUGAGUAACACGUGAGUGACCUGCCUUUUAGACUGGGAACAACUUACCGAAAGGUGAGCUAAUGCCGGAUGAGUUAUAUAAGUGCAUGUUUAUAUAGGAAAAGUUGGGGAGACCUGACGCUGAAAGAUGGACUCGCGUCCCAUUAGCUAGUUGGUAGGGGUAAUGGCCUACCAAGGCGACGAUGGGUAGCCGGCCUGAGAGGGUGGCCGGCCACACUGGGACUGAGACACGGCCCAGACUCCUACGGGAGGCAGCAG